UGGUAUUUCCUGAUACGAAGAGUUGACGAAAGAGCGAUUUGCGGAGAUAUUGAGAUAAGGUGGUCAAAUCUGCAAAGGGGAUCAUCAACCUUGAAAAUGAAAACUGCGUUGAAAUUGUCUCGAAGAGGGUCGUUUAACAUUUUCAAGGUAGUAAGAGCAUCGUGGCGUAGCAGAGAAUAUGACCAGGGGGACAUUUUAUAGAGGAUGUUCAUUCCUCGUUUUCCAUCAAAGAAAAUAGGCACAUCAGAGGGUGGGAGCUUCGAGAUCCCAUCUGCAUACAGUACGAAUGGUUGGAUAAGAUUUCUGCCACAAAGGAACUGAAUUGUAGCUUUGAAGAUUUGGAAGCUGCUGUAGCUCGGGGAGAGAAGCGGUUUCCCAUUAGGUCCCCCCGCUUCGAGGAGUAGGGCUACGAGAGUAGCCCACUCACAGUGGCCAAAGCCGCCUUGUGCAAAAGAGGUCCCAAAACCUCUCUGCUGAAGCCAAAUCCGGCCGAGGAUACAUGCAUCUCGAUAGGCCGUGCAUUUGACACUGGCAGCAUAUUGAAGCUUCAAGAACGCCGAAACAGAUGCC
RNAcentral lists this small RNA (570 nucleotides) under Histoplasma ohiense. RNAcentral describes it as "hypothetical lncRNA". Lineage: Eukaryota; Fungi; Ascomycota; Eurotiomycetes; Onygenales; Ajellomycetaceae. The record is from RNAcentral.